RNAcentral lists this ribosomal RNA (460 nucleotides) under uncultured bacterium. RNAcentral's name for it is "partial 16S ribosomal RNA". It matches the Rfam family "Bacterial small subunit ribosomal RNA", at positions 338 to 795 of the family's 1533-position model. The record is from RNAcentral.
CCUACGGGAUGCUGCAGUGAGGAAUAUUGGUCAAUGGACGAGAGUCUGAACCAGCCAAGUAGCGUGAAGGAUGACUGCCCUAUGGGUUGUAAACUUCUUUUAUAUGGGAAUAAAAUGUUCCACGUGUGGGAUUUUGUAUGUACCAUAUGAAUAAGGAUCGGCUAACUCCGUUCCAGCAGCCGCGGUAAUACGGAGGAUCCGAGCGUUAUCCGGAUUUAUUGGGUUUAAAGGGAGCGUAGGUGGAUUGUUAAGUCAGUUGUGACAGUUUGCGGCUCAACCGUAAAAUUGCAGUUGAAACUGGCAGUCUGGAGUACAGUAGAGGUGGGCGGAAUUCGUGGUGUAGCAGUGAAAUGAUUAGAUAUCACGAAGAACUCCGAUUGCGAAGGCAGUUCACUGGAAUGCAACUGACACUGAGGCUCGAAAGUGUGGGUAUCAAACAGGAUUAGAGACCCUGGUAGUC